RNAcentral lists this ribosomal RNA (184 nucleotides) under Flagelloscypha austrofilicis. RNAcentral's name for it is "5.8S ribosomal RNA". The stretch from base 19 to 172 matches the Rfam family "5.8S ribosomal RNA". From Rfam's summary of the family: 5.8S ribosomal RNA (5.8S rRNA) is a component of the large subunit of the eukaryotic ribosome. It is transcribed by RNA polymerase I as part of the 45S precursor that also contains 18S and 28S rRNA. Lineage: Eukaryota; Fungi; Basidiomycota; Agaricomycetes; Agaricales; Niaceae. The record is from RNAcentral.
GGCCUUUAAACUUAACACAAUUAUUGACAACGGAUCUCUUGGCUCACACAUCGAUGAAGAACGCAGCGAAAUGCGAUAAGUAAUGUGAAUUGCAGAUUUCAGUGAAUCAUCGAAUCUUUGAACGCACCUUGCACCUUCUGGUAUUCCGGAAGGUACACCUGUUUGAGUGUCAUUAAAUUCUCAA